This 611-nucleotide long non-coding RNA is filed under the name Oryzias javanicus (javanese ricefish). RNAcentral's name for it is "lncRNA (ENSOJAG00000005262.1)". The record is from RNAcentral. Lineage: Eukaryota; Metazoa; Chordata; Actinopteri; Beloniformes; Adrianichthyidae.
UUUUAUUCAGCUUUCGGCUGACAGAACCGCGCGUGCGCGGAGCUACCUGAUCUCUCCCCCCUCCGACACCCCGGCUCCUCCUUCACCCUCCCCCCCCGGCAGUCGAUAUCUGUGCCCGGAGGUUUGAAUCUCUUCUGUGGCCCCAGCAGCCGCCAUGCUGAGCUGAGAGACCCGACUAACUUUCACGCCGCAACUUCUCCUCGUCCUCCCUGCGUGAAAUUAGGAAGACUUCCGCUCGACUGUGCUCCAACAUUAGGACCUGGUUCUAUCCUCUUCAUCCAUUUCCAGCUGUGUGAAGAAAGCAAAGAGGACUUUUAAUGAAUCAGUUUUCGCUAGCCGACGCCAUGGCCGACAACCUGAGGAUUUUAUAAUUCUCUCCCGCCGAAGACCGUCGCAUCUUGUAGGAGCCACAGGUCAGAAACUCUACUCCUCUUCCUCCUCCCUAUUUGUUGUUGUACCACCUGCUGCUGAGGUGCUGCAAGCUUCAAUGUGAAUGUUGCAUGCUCCUUCCACCCUCAUCUGCCACCACCUUGCUGCAUGAUUUCCUUUUUUUAAACUUUGACAUUGACUUUAAGCGCUGCGUUCUUAUCUUUAAUCGCUCUCUUCGAUUG